ACCAGCAGCCAUAUCACUCUGCAACUCACAACUGGCAACCCUCUCUAGCUAAGCAGGUGUGAGCCUGGUCAGUACCUGGAUGGGAGACCUCCUGGGAAAAAUUAAGGUUGCUGCUGGAA
RNAcentral lists this ribosomal RNA (119 nucleotides) under Lepisosteus oculatus (spotted gar). Lineage: Eukaryota; Metazoa; Chordata; Actinopteri; Semionotiformes; Lepisosteidae. The record is from RNAcentral.